This 506-nucleotide ribosomal RNA is filed under the name uncultured bacterium. Its description in RNAcentral is "partial 16S ribosomal RNA". It matches the Rfam family "Bacterial small subunit ribosomal RNA", at positions 30 to 523 of the family's 1533-position model. The record is from RNAcentral.
AUUGAACGCUGGCGGCAGGCUUAACACAUGCAAGUCGAGCGGUAACAGAGAGAAGCUUGCUUCUCUGCUGACGAGCGGCGGACGGGUGAGUAGUGCCUAGGAAUCUGCCUAGUAGUGGGGGAUAACUUGCCGAAAGGUAAGCUAAUACCGCAUACGUCCUACGGGAGAAAGGAGGGGACCUUCGGGCCUUUCGCUAUUAGAUGAGCCUAGGUCGGAUUAGUUAGUUGGUGAGGUAAUGGCUCACCAAGACCGCGAUCCGUAACUGGUCUGAGAGGAUGAUCAGUCACACUGGAACUGAGACACGGUCCAGACUCCUACGGGAGGCAGCAGUGGGGAAUAUUGGACAAUGGGGGGAACCCUGAUCCAGCCAUGCCGCGUGUGUGAAGAAGGUCUUAGGAUUGUAAAGCACUUUAAGAUGGGAGGAAGAGCAGUUAACUAAUAUUUGACUGUUUUGACGUUACCGACAGAAUAAGCACCGGCUAACUUCGUGCCAGCAGCCGCCGUAA